GAUGAAGAACGCAGCGAAAUGCGAUAAGUAAUGUGAAUUGCAGAAUUCAGUGAAUCAUCGAGUCUUUGAACGCACAUUGCGCCCCCUGGUAUUCCGGGGGGCAUGCCUGUCCGAGCGUCAUUGCCGCCCUCAAGCACGGCUUGUGUGUUGGGCCCCCGCCCCCCGGCUUCGGGGGGCGGGCCCGAAAGGCAGCGGCGGCACCGCGUCCGGUCCUCGAGCGUAUGGGGCUUCGUCACCCGCUCUGUAGGCCCGGCCGGCGCCCGCCGGCGACCCCAAUCAAUCUUUCCAGGUUGACCUCGGAUCAGGUAGGGAUACCCGCUGAACUUAAGCAUAUCAAUAGCGGAGGA
This 347-nucleotide unclassified non-coding RNA is filed under the name soil metagenome. Its description in RNAcentral is "partial contains 5.8S ribosomal RNA, internal transcribed spacer 2, and large subunit ribosomal RNA". The stretch from base 1 to 120 matches the Rfam family "5.8S ribosomal RNA", at positions 35 to 154 of the family's 154-position model. The record is from RNAcentral.